GAUGAACGCUGGCGGCGUGCCUAAUACAUGCAAGUCGAGCGAACGGACGAGAAGCUUGCUUCUCUGAUGUUAGCGGCGGACGGGUGAGUAACACGUGGAUAACCUACCUAUAAGACUGGGAUAACUUCGGGAAACCGGAGCUAAUACCGGAUAAUAUUUUGAACCGCAUGGUUCAAAAGUGAAAGACGGUCUUGCUGUCACUUAUAGAUGGAUCCGCGCUGCAUUAGCUAGUUGGUAAGGUAACGGCUUACCAAGGCAACGAUGCAUAGCCGACCUGAGAGGGGGAUCGGCCACACUGGAACUGAGAAACGGUCCAGACUCCUACGGGAGGCAGCAGUAGGGAAUCUUCCGAAAUGGGCGAAAGCCUGACGGAGCAACGCCGCGUGAGUGAUGAAGGUCUUCGGAUCGUAAAACUCUGUUAUUAGGGAAGAACAUAUGUGUAAGUAACUGUGCACAUCUUGACGGUACCUAAUCAGAAAGCCACGGCUAACUACGUG
This 497-nucleotide ribosomal RNA is filed under the name uncultured bacterium. RNAcentral describes it as "partial 16S ribosomal RNA". It matches the Rfam family "Bacterial small subunit ribosomal RNA", at positions 28 to 507 of the family's 1533-position model. The record is from RNAcentral.